This 73-nucleotide transfer RNA is filed under the name Xenopus tropicalis (tropical clawed frog). RNAcentral describes it as "tRNA-Val (TAC) (tRNA-Val-TAC-19-1)". It matches the Rfam family "tRNA". Rfam says of the family: Transfer RNA (tRNA) molecules are approximately 80 nucleotides in length. Their secondary structure includes four short double-helical elements and three loops (D, anti-codon, and T loops). The record is from Rfam by way of RNAcentral. Lineage: Eukaryota; Metazoa; Chordata; Amphibia; Anura; Pipidae.
GGUUUCAUAGUGUAGUGUUCAUCACGUCUGCUUUACACGCAGAACGUCCUCGGUUCAAUCCCUAGUGAAACCA